This 2899-nucleotide ribosomal RNA is filed under the name Klebsiella pneumoniae. Its description in RNAcentral is "23S ribosomal RNA". It matches the Rfam family "Bacterial large subunit ribosomal RNA". The record is from RNAcentral. Lineage: Bacteria; Pseudomonadati; Pseudomonadota; Gammaproteobacteria; Enterobacterales; Enterobacteriaceae.
GGUUAAGCGACUAAGCGUACACGGUGGAUGCCCUGGCAGUCAGAGGCGAUGAAGGACGUGCUAAUCUGCGAAAAGCGUCGGUAAGGUGAUAUGAACCGUUACAGCCGGCGAUGUCCGAAUGGGGAAACCCAGUGUGAUUCGUCACACUAUCGUUAACUGAAUACAUAGGUUAACGAGGCGAACCGGGGAACUGAAACAUCUAAGUACCCCGAGGAAAAGAAAUCAACCGAGAUUCCCCCAGUAGCGGCGAGCGAACGGGGAGCAGCCCAGAGUCUGAAUCAGCUUGUGUGUUAGUGGAACGGUCUGGAAAGUCCGACGGUACAGGGUGAUAGUCCCGUACACCAAAAUGCACAGGCUGUGAACUCGAAGAGUAGGGCGGGACACGUGGUAUCCUGUCUGAAUAUGGGGGGACCAUCCUCCAAGGCUAAAUACUCCUGACUGACCGAUAGUGAACCAGUACCGUGAGGGAAAGGCGAAAAGAACCCCGGCGAGGGGAGUGAAAAAGAACCUGAAACCGUGUACGUACAAGCAGUGGGAGCACCUUCGGGUGUGACUGCGUACCUUUUGUAUAAUGGGUCAGCGACUUAUAUUCUGUAGCAAGGUUAACCGUAUAGGGGAGCCGCAGGGAAACCGAGUCUUAACUGGGCGUUAAGUUGCAGGGUAUAGACCCGAAACCCGGUGAUCUAGCCAUGGGCAGGUUGAAGGUUGGGUAACACUAACUGGAGGACCGAACCGACUAAUGUUGAAAAAUUAGCGGAUGACUUGUGGCUGGGGGUGAAAGGCCAAUCAAACCGGGAGAUAGCUGGUUCUCCCCGAAAGCUAUUUAGGUAGCGCCUCGUGAACUCAUCUUCGGGGGUAGAGCACUGUUUCGGCUAGGGGGUCAUCCCGACUUACCAACCCGAUGCAAACUACGAAUACCGAAGAAUGUUAUCACGGGAGACACACGGCGGGUGCUAACGUCCGUCGUGAAGAGGGAAACAACCCAGACCGCCAGCUAAGGUCCCAAAGUCAUGGUUAAGUGGGAAACGAUGUGGGAAGGCACAGACAGCCAGGAUGUUGGCUUAGAAGCAGCCAUCAUUUAAAGAAAGCGUAAUAGCUCACUGGUCGAGUCGGCCUGCGCGGAAGAUGUAACGGGGCUAAACCAUGCACCGAAGCUGCGGCAGCGACACUAUGUGUUGUUGGGUAGGGGAGCGUUCUGUAAGCCUGCGAAGGUGUGCUGUGAGGCAUGCUGGAGGUAUCAGAAGUGCGAAUGCUGACAUAAGUAACGAUAAAGCGGGUGAAAAGCCCGCUCGCCGGAAGACCAAGGGUUCCUGUCCAACGUUAAUCGGGGCAGGGUGAGUCGACCCCUAAGGCGAGGCCGAAAGGCGUAGUCGAUGGGAAACAGGUUAAUAUUCCUGUACUUGGUGUUACUGCGAAGGGGGACGGAGAAGGCUAUGUUAGCCGGGCGACGGUUGUCCCGGUUUAAGCAUGUAGGCUGGUUAUCCAGGCAAAUCCGGAUAAUCAAGGCUGAGGUGUGAUGACGAGGCACUACGGUGCUGAAGUAACAAAUGCCCUGCUUCCAGGAAAAGCCUCUAAGCAUCAGGUAACAUCAAAUCGUACCCCAAACCGACACAGGUGGUCAGGUAGAGAAUACCAAGGCGCUUGAGAGAACUCGGGUGAAGGAACUAGGCAAAAUGGUGCCGUAACUUCGGGAGAAGGCACGCUGGUGUGUAGGUGAAGCCCCUGCGGGUGGAGCUGAGACCAGUCGAAGAUACCAGCUGGCUGCAACUGUUUAUUAAAAACACAGCACUGUGCAAACACGAAAGUGGACGUAUACGGUGUGACGCCUGCCCGGUGCCGGAAGGUUAAUUGAUGGGGUUAUCCGUAAGGAGAAGCUCUUGAUCGAAGCCCCGGUAAACGGCGGCCGUAACUAUAACGGUCCUAAGGUAGCGAAAUUCCUUGUCGGGUAAGUUCCGACCUGCACGAAUGGCGUAAUGAUGGCCAGGCUGUCUCCACCCGAGACUCAGUGAAAUUGAACUCGCUGUGAAGAUGCAGUGUACCCGCGGCAAGACGGAAAGACCCCGUGAACCUUUACUAUAGCUUGACACUGAACAUUGAGCCUUGAUGUGUAGGAUAGGUGGGAGGCUUUGAAGCGUGGACGCCAGUCUGCGUGGAGCCAACCUUGAAAUACCACCCUUUAAUGUUUGAUGUUCUAACGUUGGCCCCUUACCGGGGUUGCGGACAGUGUCUGGUGGGUAGUUUGACUGGGGCGGUCUCCUCCCAAAGCGUAACGGAGGAGCACGAAGGUUAGCUAAUCCUGGUCGGACAUCAGGAGGUUAGUGCAAUGGCAUAAGCUAGCUUGACUGCGAGCGUGACGGCGCGAGCAGGUGCGAAAGCAGGUCAUAGUGAUCCGGUGGUUCUGAAUGGAAGGGCCAUCGCUCAACGGAUAAAAGGUACUCCGGGGAUAACAGGCUGAUACCGCCCAAGAGUUCAUAUCGACGGCGGUGUUUGGCACCUCGAUGUCGGCUCAUCACAUCCUGGGGCUGAAGUAGGUCCCAAGGGUAUGGCUGUUCGCCAUUUAAAGUGGUACGCGAGCUGGGUUUAGAACGUCGUGAGACAGUUCGGUCCCUAUCUGCCGUGGGCGCUGGAGAAUUGAGGGGGCUGCUCCUAGUACGAGAGGACCGGAGUGGACGCAUCACUGGUGUUCGGGUUGUCAUGCCAAUGGCACUGCCCGGUAGCUAAAUGCGGAAGAGAUAAGUGCUGAAAGCAUCUAAGCACGAAACUUGCCCCGAGAUGAGUUCUCCCUGAGACUUUAAGUCUCCUGAAGGAACGUUGAAGACGACGACGUUGAUAGGCCGGGUGUGUAAGCGCAGCGAUGCGUUGAGCUAACCGGUACUAAUGAACCGUGAGGCUUAACCUU